RNAcentral lists this ribosomal RNA (419 nucleotides) under bacterium. RNAcentral's name for it is "partial 16S ribosomal RNA". It matches the Rfam family "Bacterial small subunit ribosomal RNA", at positions 355 to 776 of the family's 1533-position model. The record is from RNAcentral.
UGGGGGAUAUUGCACAAUGGGCGAAAGCCUGAUGCAGCGACGCCGCGUGGGGGAUGAAGGCCUUCGGGUUGUAAACUUCUUUUGCUCUGAACAAGGCAUGCUAAUGGGUGUGUUGAGUGUAGGGGUUGAUUAGCGCCGGCUAACUACGUGCCAGCAGCCGCGGUAAUACGUAGGGCGCGAGCGUUGUCCGGAAUUAUUGGGCGUAAAGGGCUUGUAGGUGGCUGGUUGCGUCUGUCGUGAAAGCUCAUGGCUUAACUGGGGGUUUGCGGUGGGUACGGGCUGGCUUGAGUGCAGUAGGGGAGGCUGGAAUUCCUGGUGUAGCGGUGGAAUGCGCAGAUAUCAGGAGGAAUACCGGUGGCGAAGGCGGGUCUCUGGGCUGUUACUGACACUGAGGAGCGAAAGCAUGGGGAGCGAACAGG